This 174-nucleotide ribosomal RNA is filed under the name uncultured bacterium. RNAcentral describes it as "partial 16S ribosomal RNA". It matches the Rfam family "Bacterial small subunit ribosomal RNA", at positions 335 to 526 of the family's 1533-position model. The record is from RNAcentral.
ACUCCUACGGGAGGCAGCAGUCGGGACUUUUGCGCAAUGGGGGAAACCCUGACGCAGCAAUACCGCGUGUGGGAUGAAGGCCUUCGGGUCGUAAACCACUUUUUUCGGGGACGAUAAUGACGGUACCCGAAGAAUAAGCCACGGCUAACUACGUGCCAGCAGCCGCGGUAAUAC